This 77-nucleotide transfer RNA is filed under the name Magnetospira thiophila. RNAcentral's name for it is "tRNA-Arg". It matches the Rfam family "tRNA". From Rfam's summary of the family: Transfer RNA (tRNA) molecules are approximately 80 nucleotides in length. Their secondary structure includes four short double-helical elements and three loops (D, anti-codon, and T loops). RNAcentral also lists the same sequence under 20 other names. The record is from RNAcentral. Lineage: Bacteria; Pseudomonadati; Pseudomonadota; Alphaproteobacteria; Rhodospirillales; Thalassospiraceae.
GCACCCGUAGCUCAGCUGGAUAGAGCGCUGCCCUCCGAAGGCAGAGGUCGUGAGUUCGAAUCUCGCCGGGUGCACCA